GUUAAUCUUUUAUCACGGUAUAAACUGAUAUUUUUCAAAAUCCACUUUAAUAAGGAUUCUUAAAAGCUUUAACCUCCCUUCUAGCCCACCUCCCACUAGAGUUAGUAGAAAGGAGAGGUUUAUAGGGCAAAGGGGAAUGUGGGCCUAUUUAGAAAUAGUUCUUUGGGGGAGAUUACAAUCUCUUUGUCGGGAUAUCAGCAGUUGAGUUCACAGGAAUCAGCAGCAGCAGCUCAAUCCACUCUCAAACACCUGUCACAGUGAAUGGCAGUUCAUCCAGAAGAAAACUCGGGGCUCUGCCAAUCGGCCUGAGUCCCUGGAAGAGGUCAGAAGCCCCUGCAAUAUCACAAGAAGUUCUUUGGCAGGUUCUCUCUACGAAGUUGUGAUUAGUGAUGAUCAGCAAAGAAGGCAGGCAAGGUGAACCAACACCGCAGUGUUGUUAUUGAAGACCAGCGAAGAGUGGCAGGGUGAGCUGCAGCCUCGUCCACUGUCUGUCGGGUUAUCCUUAUACCCUGUCCAAACAUUACGUGUUCUCUCAAGCAUCCCCUCUAGCAAAGCAUCCCAUGCCCUUUUCCCAGGCCGCUUCCAGAAAAGCACCAUGUGUCUGCUGUCGGCAAAACAUCCUCUCCUAAGACAGUUUCCGGGAAAAACAUCACGUGACACAACUGAGUCUCCAAAGAAACCAGAAAUGUCCACUUCACCGUGGUUCCUAACGGAGGGUACCACAGAGCCUCCCUUUUAUCUUACAGCCAGCUUCUCUCUUAGCAUAGUCGGUGAUGGCAGGUGUCACGGAGCCUUUCCUUACGUAUUACAGCUAUUAUUCUUGAAUUACAGCUGUCCGUGCGGGUGCCCAGGCGAUUGAAGCUUAUGUCUCAUGCAAGCGCGCCCUCUAGUGGUGGCCAAGCUGAUGGCCGCUCCUUUGCUACAGUCGACUAUUUCUACUUCCCUGCUGUCCUGUGAGGGCCAUCAUCAGGAUGAAGUCUAUCCCCAGACCUCCUUGAAAAAGCAGAGAGAGACGUGUCCAUCACCAUCGCAGUGGCAGGCAGGCACGGGGACUGGAGCAAGGAUCCUGAGAGCUCACAGCUUGACCCACAAGCAUGAAGCAGUUAGAGCAACGAGAAAUGGUGGGGAUCUUCAAACUCGCAAGGUGUGCCUCUGGCGACACGCUUCCUCCAACAGGGCCACAUCCCUCAAAAGUUCCGCUGCCUGGGGAGCGUGUGCUUAGAUACAGGAGCCUCUGGAGAAUGUCCUCACUCAGACCACAUCUUAUGGCGGCACAGUGAAACGGAAUCUAAAGCCUAGGAUUUAUUCUGUUUUAUUUUCAUUUUCUUAAUUUCCAUGAAAUAAAUUCAUUUUAAUUCCUUUA
Rattus norvegicus (Norway rat) is the source of this 1363-nucleotide long non-coding RNA. RefSeq lists it as uncharacterized. The record is from RefSeq and is a predicted model, not a curated record. Lineage: Eukaryota; Metazoa; Chordata; Mammalia; Rodentia; Muridae.